Brassica napus (rape) is the source of this 1489-nucleotide long non-coding RNA. RefSeq lists it as uncharacterized. The record is from RefSeq and is a predicted model, not a curated record. NCBI's taxonomy places the organism in Eukaryota, Viridiplantae, Streptophyta, Magnoliopsida, Brassicales, Brassicaceae. The transcript has 2 exons.
UCUAGCACUUGAUCGAGUUCGCAGUGAUAGACCAACACACACCCUUCAACACUAUACUCAGGAGGCCCUGGCUCCGGAAGAUGAAGGCCUUCCUAUCGAUGCCUCUCCAUUCAGAGUCACCACUAAAAGAAAACUUGUGUACGUUAUUUGGUCGUUAUAUUCAACUUGUUUGAUGUUAACUAUGAAUUAGCAUAAAUAUCAAGUCAUGCUUUAGAUAACUUUACUCCAUUCUAUUCUAUUUGAUAUUGUUCUAUUUAUAAUUUAGAACUCAAAUUAUAUACCUUGGCAUAAAAGAUUAUGUAAUAUAAAUUUCUGUGUUAUGUAUUUCUAUCUUAAUUAUAUAGCUCAGUAUAUUUAUAUUUUUAUAUAGCUGACUACAAAUUUAAUUAUACUAUCUUCAAAUGUAAUAGUCUUUAAUUAUGAUAAAAUUCAAAUUAAAUGGUCUUCCAUAUAAUUUAAAUGAACACCAACAUUCUUUGUUACUAUAAUUUAUUCAUUUUGAUUAACAGUAUUUGAAUAAAUCUGAUAUAAACACACAAUUUGUUCCCAAAAAAAAAAAUUUCUCUUUCAAUAUUAAUUAUGUUUUCCUAGUUUUAAUAAUGUCUUGUGAAUUCUUUAAAUUCACCGUUUAAGUGAUUCAAAUAUGAGAAAUUGCACUGGGUAUACAAACAUAACUCGUAUAUUUGCAUGAAUGGAUUUUCGUCUUUCCGUAUGACGUGUUUUUUUAAUGUUCAUACUGCCCCUAUUCUCCUACAUCGUAGCCUAAUAUCUAAUACAUUUUGGAAAGUCUAUAUUUCAUUUAUACAUGAAGUGAGAGAGACUUCGGUCAUCAUUACAAUCUAUAACACGGGGUUUCAGAAUUAUCUUUCUCAUCUCUCCCAGAGUCUUUGUUUUCUCCACAGUUUCGUUUAUCCUCUCUCUCAAUCUCUUUGAUUUAUCCGUUAGAACCAAUGUCCACAUAGAAUCUUACAUCUCUCUCACUCUUUCUGAGUUCUCCCACGAUACCUUAGCGAUGAUACCAGCUUCCAUCAAUCGCAAUCAUCUAUUAAAAUCGAUCGGAAUCAUUGCUCCAAAACAAUCUCAUACUCGCCGGACUCUCACCGUAUUCGAUUGUCUCCUAUACGAUUUACGUGAUGAUGAUGGCUGCUGGAUAUCAUUUUUUGGAACCACAAAUGAACUGAACAGUCGCAAACCUCCACAAAAGCACCACCACAAAUUAUAUGUAUACGGGAAUCAGAGGAGCAGUGUAUGUGAGCUUCUUCGGACAGUAGAUAGGAGCUGUGGCAGGACGCGAAAGUAGUGCUUAGUCUUGGUGAUUCUUUACGAGCAAAUGCUAUUAACAUAGCUAUGAUUUACUGUUAGACUGUUAACAUAUUUAAUAGCCUAAAAAUCAAAUGUUAGAUUGCUAACAAUUUUAAUAGCAUAUAAUCAUUUAUCUGUUUAUGUAUCUUUGAAUAAUAUUGUCGCUCUAUUUUCCUGUUUUGUGAUA